GUGAGUAAACACGAGGUCGCGCCCUUCCUGUGGGUAGCCACAUUGCAGCCUCCUAGGAGAGGAUGCGGCCCAUGUGCAGGUGCAGCAGGAACAGCAGGUCCACCCUACGGUCUUUUAAAAACAUUUUUAUUUUUAGAUAAUUGCAGUUCUGCAUGCAAUCAUAAGGACUAACACAGAGAUGCCGUGUGCCCUCUACCCGGUGUCCUUCAGUGGUGGCAUCUUGCAGGGCUGCGGUGACUGUGGUAUCAGAUCACAGCUGGGAGACCACACAGACUCAGCCCACCCAUCUCACUCAGCUCACACUGGUUCUACAUGCAUUCGUGUGCAUGUCUUGAUCUGUGCAAUUCUAGCACACGUAUGGAUUCGUGUGGCCACCACCACUGCCAAGAUGGAACAUCUCUGUCCAACAGGGGCCCUCCUGUGGACUCGUCACAGCCACAGCCACCUCCCCUCUUCCCUGGCCCCCACCGUCCACUCUCCAUCUCUACAAUUUGUUGUUCUAAGAAUGCUGUGUAAAUGGAGUCAUGCGGUGUGUGUGACAGGCUUUCCUCUCAGCCUGAGGCCGGCCGGGGUCGUGUGUCAGGAGCCUGUGGCCAUCUGUUGCUGAGCAGAGUGUGCUCAGCGUCUGCCUGUCGAAGGAAGGGGUGGAGGCUGCCUCUGUGCGGCUUCUCUCACAGGUGGUUCUGCGCGCCUGGUGUCGUCGGGGGCAUUUCUUCCUCCAGAGGGGAUCUCAGUGCGAACAUGGGCCCCCGUCACCUCAGGUCACCGAGGCCUCCCUGCAAGCACCCCAGAGAAGGACUGAAGAAGCACCACGUCAUGUUUAGGGGGGUGGAGGCCUGGCCAGGGAGCCACACUGAUGGCAUCCUGAGAUCCUGGGGCUGUCACUCAGAGGGUGUGGGAGGAAAAGCCCUGGGGGCAGAGCGUGAAAUGCCACCAGAACUGACCGCUUCUGGUUCUCUGUACUCUGGCCGGACUGCUGUUCCGCACACAGCCCGCCCCUCAUGGGCCCCACAGCCGCCGUCCCGUGUUACAGAUGGAGACGCAGAGAUGAUCAGGGGGAAAGAGUGUGUUCACAUGGAACUACAUGGAAGGAACAGGACCUAAUUUAAGUGGUGUGUCACACACUAGGCGUGGUAACAGCAGUGUCAGUCAAUCAUUUUCAUACGGUUAAAUGAGAUUUGUCAAUGCCCACAGGGGCCGUGUGGGCCCCAGCGCCCAGCUUUGCCCUCUGCCUCAUGCUGUCGCUGGCCCCCUCUGAGGCACAACCUGGCACAUUUCCUCUUCAGCAGCUGCCACCCUCCCUCCCUUCUGUGUCACCCACACCCCGGAAGCUGGGAGUAAUGACAGCCCAGCCUGCGUGAAGGGCGAGGGCAGUACUGGGCG
Molecule: long non-coding RNA, 1383 nt
Filed under: Equus caballus (horse)
Lineage: Eukaryota; Metazoa; Chordata; Mammalia; Perissodactyla; Equidae
Description: lncRNA (ENSECAG00000060340.1)
Source: RNAcentral